UACGAAGGGGGCUAGCGUUGUUCGGAAUCACUGGGCGUAAAGGGUGCGUAGGCGGGAUCUUAAGUCAGGGGUGAAAUCCCGAGGCUCAACCUCGGAACUGCCUUUGAUACUGGGGUCCUUGAGUCCGGAAGAGGUGAGUGGAACUGCGAGUGUAGAGGUGAAAUUCGUAGAUAUUCGCAAGAACACCGGUGGCGAAGGCGGCUCACUGGUCCGGAACUGACGCUCAUGCACGACAGCGUGGGGAUCAAACAGG
RNAcentral lists this ribosomal RNA (253 nucleotides) under uncultured bacterium. RNAcentral's name for it is "partial 16S ribosomal RNA". It matches the Rfam family "Bacterial small subunit ribosomal RNA", at positions 524 to 776 of the family's 1533-position model. The record is from RNAcentral.